This 245-nucleotide long non-coding RNA is filed under the name Elaeis guineensis (African oil palm). Its description in RNAcentral is "long non-coding RNA (EGUI_LNC036388)". The record is from RNAcentral. Lineage: Eukaryota; Viridiplantae; Streptophyta; Magnoliopsida; Arecales; Arecaceae.
UUCUUUUCUUCCCUCAUCGCUUCCUUUCUUCUUUUGUUCUGCCAUCCUCUGCUUCUUUGUCUUAUCUUAUCAUAGAUAACAGAGAAUCAGAGGAACUUGAAGGAUCUUGGGAAGUGGCCUUUGUUCUCUACAUGACGGGUGCAUUGCUUGGUUGCUAAGAUCCUUCUGAGGAUCUAUUACGGGCCUUCUAGAAGAAGCAAAAAAGGGAAAAGUCACUAUUAAAGGAGAAAAAGAUAUUAGCCAGG